ACGAAAAAUAAAGUGAACACAAGGAUUUACGUGGUUCGGCUUUAAUGCCUACGUCCACGGGCAGAGGCGAAAAGAAAUUUCACUAUAACAAGAUGAAGAUUACAAGUGUUUUACACUCAAGACACAACCCGAGAACCUCACAACUCUCAACCCCUAUAGAAAACCCGAAAGCUAAAAUCCUAGCUUUCAAAGAACAAGCUUUGCUCUCUCUUGGUUUGGGAUGAUUUAUAUGGCUAAUGAACCUCUCUAUUUAUAAGAGAGUUCAAGGACAUAAUUGUCCAAAACUUUGGCAAAGAUUUGUGGUUGAAAAUGGACACCAACAACCAUCCACUAAUCCACUACCACCAACAACCCACUACCAACAACAACAAUCCACUACCAAUUUUAAGCCAUUUCUUAACAAAUCUCCACCUUGGCUUGAAAUUUACCAAGCUGAACAUCAUAGUGAAUUCCUCGAACUGGAUCACCUCUUCCAAACGCCUCUCUGGCGCUAAUCAAUCCCGAAUACCUAUCAAGUCCAAGCAAUGCUUGAACUUAUAUGCAGGGAUCACCUUAGUUAACAUAUCUGCAGGAUUCUUCUCGGUAGCAACCUUGCUGAUAACAAUGUCACCUUGCGUAACAUGUUCCCGAACAAAAUGAUAUCUGACAUCAAUGUGUUUGGUCCGUUCAUGAAACAUCUGAUUUUUAGUCAGAUGUAUGGCACUCUGGCUAUCGCAAAAUACAACAGUGAAAUCCUGUUGUAAACCCAAACUGCUUACUAGACCUUUCAUCCACAAUGCUUCUUUCACUGCUUCUGCUAACGCCAUAUAUUCCGCCUCAGUCGUAGAUAAGGCUACGGUAGACUGUAACACAGCUUUCCAACUAAUGGCUCCUCCAGAAUAAGUGAAAACAUAACCCGUCAGAGAUCUUCUUUUGUCCAGAUCUCCAGCAUAAUCAGAGUCCACAUAGCCCGUGACACUGCUAGUGCAGUCACUCUGAUCAUAUACCAAGCAUAAAUCUGCAGAACCUCUCAAGUACCUGAGAAUCCAUUUCACGGCCUGCCAGUGUUCCUUGCCAGGACAACUCAUGUAUCUGCUGACCACACUAACUGCAUGUGAAAUGUCUGGACGAGUGCAAACCAUUGCAUACAUCACGCUUCCAACUGCACUCGAGUAUGGAAUGUGAGACAUUUGCUGCUUUUCUUCAUCAGAUUGUGGUGACAACUCUGCAGAGAGUUUGAAAUGUGGUGCCAACGGAGUACUCACAGUUUUCGCUUUAUCCAUGCCGAAGCGUUGAAGAACCUUUUCAAUGUAGUUCUUCUGCGACACACGAAGCUUGCCCGCCUUGCGAUCUCUGUGAAUAUCCAUGCCCAAAAUUUUCUUGGCAGCACCCAGAUCCUUCAUCUCGAACUCACCACUCAACUGCGACUUUAACUUGUUGAUUUCCGACAUGUUUUUGGAAGCAAUUAACAUGUCAUCAACAUACAGCAACAAAUAAAUGUGCGAACCAUCUGAGAGCUUCCGAUGAUAGACACAAGCAUCAUAGUCACAUCUUGUGUAACCAUGCUGAAUCAUGAAGCUAUCAAACCGCUUGUACCACUGCCUUGGGGAUUGUUUCAAUCCAUAUAAAGACUUCUUUAAUAGACAGACAUGGUCUUCUUUACCAGGAACUGUAAAACCCUCUGGUUGACGCAUGUAGAUUGUUUCCUCGAGCUCACCAUGCAAGAACGCCGUUUUUACGUCAAGCUGCUCAAGUUCUAGAUCAGACUUGGCCACCAUGGCAAGUAAUACACGAAUGGAAGAAUGCUUUACGACUGGGGAGAAAACUUCAUUGUAGUCAAUCCCCUCUUUCUGAGUGAAGCCUUUAGCAACCAAUCGUGCCUUGAAUCUAGUUGCUUCAACCCCUAGGAUGCCUUCCUUUUUCUUGAAGACCCAUUUGCAACCAACUAUCUUCUGGUUACUUGGCGGCUUAACCAACUCCCAAGUAUGGUUCUUGUGAAGAGAUUCUAUCUCCUCACUCAUAGCAAUUGCCCACUGUGCCGACUCAUCACACGUGACAGCCUCAUUAUAACUGGAAGGUUCUAUACCAAUGGACUCCGCCACACUGAGCGCGAAAGACACCAGAUUAGCGUAACGCGGAUUUGGUUUGAUUUGUCUCUUCGUUCUUCCAGUGGCAAUGCUAUAUGGUUUUUCUUGAGGUGACUCAUCUUCAUCGGAAUCUUGCACCUCAACUUGAUCAUCCUGGACUGAAGUACCUUCCGUAGGAAUUGGAGCGUCCACCUGACACUCCACCUGCUUCUCAACACCGUGAUCUCCCAUUCUAUCUGACUCCUCCUUUUCCCGGGAAUUUGUGGUGGAUCGAAGCAUGGAUGACUCAUCAAAAGUCACAUCUCUGCUGAUGAUGAACUUGGACGAAACCGGAUCAGGACACCACAACCUGUAUCCUUUCACCCCUUGGCCGUAUCCAAGAAAUAUGCAUUUCUUCGCCCUCGGUUUGAGUUUUCCCUCAUUUACAUGAGCAUACGCAGGGCAGCCAAACACUCUUAAACCAGAGUAAUCAGCAGGAGAACCAGACCAUACUUCCUCAGGAGUCUUCAGCUCAAUAGCUGUUGACGGAGAUCUGUUAACCAAAUAACAAGCAGUAUUAACAGCUUCAGCCCAAAAUUCUUCACCGAGCCCAGCAUUUGAUCGCAUGCAACGAGCUCGCUCCAAGAGAGUUCUAUUCAUGCGUUCUGCAACUCCAUUUUGUUGUGGUGUUCGACGAACAGUGCGGUGUCUCACUAUUCCUUCAUUCUUGCAGAACUCAUCGAAUUCACCUGAGCAAAACUCCAAGCCAUUAUCCGUCCGGAAUCGCUUGAUCUUCUUUCCUGUUUGAUUUUCGAUCAAAGCUUUAAAUUGCUUGAAGUUGAUGAGAACCUCAUACUUGCUCUUCAGAAAAUACACCCAAACCUUUCUCGAGUAAUCAUCGAUAAAGGUAAGCAGAUAUCUGUAACCACCUUUAGAAAUUGUCGGAGAAGGCCCCCAAAGGUCAGAAUGGAAGUAAUCCACUGUGCCUUUUGUCUUGUGAAUCCCAGUGCUGAACUUUACCCGAGUCUGCUUACCGAAGACGCAGUGCUCACAGAAAUUCAACUUUCCUGUACACUGCCCAGACAAUAAUCCUCGUUUGCUUAGCACCGAUAAGCCUCUCUCGCUCAUAUGCCCGAGCCGCAUAUGCCAUAACUUCGUGGUGUCAGAAUCUAGAUCAUCUGAUGAUGACACUCCCGCAACACCUGUAACCGAGGAACCAUCGAGGAAGUAAAGGCCCCGCUCCAAAUUACCACGUAUCACAGUCAAAGCACCCGAGAAUACCUUGAGAACUCCACCUUCAGCAGAGUACCGAAAGCCUUUCUUGUCCAACGUACUCAAAGAGAUCAAAUUUUUCUUCAUUUCUGGAAUGUGCCGAACAUCAGUUAGAGUUCUAACAAUACCGUCAAACAUCUUUAUACGAACUGUGCCAAUCCCCAUGACUUGACAUGCGUGGUCAUUUCCCAUUAGUACUGAACCAGAAUGCUUCUCGUAUGUUGAGAAUGCAUCUUUCGAAGUACUUAUAUGAAAUGUAGCUCCCGUAUCAAGAAUCCAUCUCCCACCAGCGUAAGAGUCGGAUACUGCAAGAACGAUCUCGGCAUCACUUGAAGAAUCUGCAUCAGCUACAUUCGCACGAUCAUUUUGUUGCUCCUGUGAUUCUGAUUUCUCCUUCCUUUUCGGACAAUCUACCUUCAUGUGCCCGUACUUCUUACAGUAGUAGCACUGUAUUCUCUUCUUGGACUGCGAUCUAGGAUGGCUUUUACUUGAACUUCCACCCUUUGCCUUGGAUCUUCCUCGAGCAACCAAGCCUUCGCCUUCAUUGUUUUCGACCACCUUACCAGUGAUUUUCUUCCUCAACUCACUGGAACUUAAGGCAUUUUUUACCUCCUCUAGAGUCAGGUCAUCACGACCGUACAUCAUUGUAUCAACAAAAUUCUCAUACGAGGGAGACAAAGAACACAAAACAAUUAUUGCUUGGUCCUCAUCAUCGAUUUUGUUAUCGAUAUUAUUCAAAUCCAUGAUAAUGGAAUUGAAUUUAUCCAGGUGCUGGGAAACAGGUGUACCUUCCUCCAUCUUCAGGGCAUAGAGUCUUUGCUUGAGGUAGAGCCGGUUCGUCAAUGACUUCGUCAUGUACUUGCUCUCUAACCGGAGCCACAAACCGGACGCGGUUUUCUCAUCCGCUACUUCUCGUAGCACUUCAUCUCCUAGACAUAGUAGAAUAGCACUAUGUGCUCUUUCUAGCAUGUCAUCCUUUUGCUCUUCCGAAAGCGUGCUUGGUAAUUUAUCUUUACCAGACAAUGCUUUUAGCAAUCCUUGUUGAACCAGCACUGCCCGCAUCUUGAUGCGCCAUAAACUGAAACUAUUUUUCCCGGUAAAUUUCUCGACAUCAUACUUAGUCGAUGAAACACUUGUAGCCAUAAUUUGGAACCUUUGAAUGAAUGAUAAUAUUUUCUUCCUGAUGUGAAAGAUCAGACAAAGCUGCAGUCACAGGGCAAUUCAGAAAAUAUUAUCACUCCUUCAACUACGCUCUGAUACCAAUUUGUUGCGGAAAGGAUCGAUUCGAGAACUCCGAUAUGACUACAAGUAAAUUGACCGAAACGAAAAAUAAAGUGAACACAAGGAUUUACGUGGUUCGGCUUUAAUGCCUACGUCCACGGGCAGAGGCGAAAAGAAAUUUCACUAUAACAAGAUGAAGAUUACAAGUGUUUUACACUCAAGACACAACCCGAGAACCUCACAACUCUCAACCCCUAUAGAAAACCCGAAAGCUAAAAUCCUAGCUUUCAAAGAACAAGCUUUGCUCUCUCUUGGUUUGGGAUGAUUUAUAUGGCUAAUGAACCUCUCUAUUUAUAAGAGAGUUCAAGGACAUAAUUGUCCAAAACUUUGGCAAAGAUUUGUGGUUGAAAAUGGACACCAACAACCAUCCACUAAUCCACUACCACCAACAACCCACUACCAACAACAACAAUCCACUACCAAUUUUAAGCCAUUUCUUAACAAAAACUGAACCCAGAGAUGCAAGCUGCCAUUGUAGUGUUCAUAGUAUAGGCGCUUAUGGAAGCUCAACAAAUACUAACUGCCCGCCAAGUCCAUCAGUUGGGUCGAACCAGAUAGAUCCUUCAGACUUUGUUUUCUUGGUAGAACAAGGCUCAGUUACAGAUUCUCCAGAUAUACCCCCAUCUCCAGAAAGAUCUUCUAUUGAGCUUGCUGAUUACAGUCAUGGCCAAUAAGAAGAUUUGAUGAUUUAGAUAUUGUCGCACAGUUGAACGCAUUACUCAAAGAUUUAUGUAAACGGUUGUGUAUAUAGUAUAAUUAAGUAGGAUCCUAAUCUCGCUAUUUUGCUGCUAAAAUAAACCCUAUUUUAAGUAAUUACUUGGGAUCCAAGUUUAAGUAAUUACUUAGGCUACUCUUGAAUGAAUGAUAAGAUUGAUUAAAAGUAAUAGUGUCAAUUAGAUUAAAUAUUUUAGUGGUGAAAUUAAAAUAAGUGAUAAAAUUGUAUUUAAAUUUAAAUUAGGUUGUAAGAAUGAGGUACAAAUGUAAAAUACUUAUUAACAUCAUUACAUUCUGUUUUUUUAAUGUAAAAUAUAUAAUGAGAAAUUAUAUUUUAUGUUAAAUAAAAAUUAUAUUAGAUUUUUAUAUUUUGCAAC
This 5689-nucleotide long non-coding RNA is filed under the name Gossypium barbadense (sea-island cotton). RNAcentral's name for it is "long non-coding RNA (GBAR_LNC017545)". The record is from RNAcentral. Lineage: Eukaryota; Viridiplantae; Streptophyta; Magnoliopsida; Malvales; Malvaceae.